Molecule: small RNA, 342 nt
Filed under: Arabidopsis thaliana (thale cress)
Lineage: Eukaryota; Viridiplantae; Streptophyta; Magnoliopsida; Brassicales; Brassicaceae
Description: ATSL171580
Source: RNAcentral
UUUUUUAUUCUAAAUAUUUUAGGUUCAAGUAAAAGUAUUUAAUUUUGGCAAGUAAGAAGGCGGAUCAAGUAACUUGCAAGUAAUUAAAAUUUAGACAAGUACUUACUAGAUCAAGUACUCGUUUUAAUAAAGCAAGUAACAAGCCAAAAAUCCAAUUACUUGGACAAGACAAGUCGAGUCACAAGUACCUCCAAAUUGGCAAGUACUUGCCUUGUGCCCAGCCAUAAAAUAUAAUACUAUAAACUAAUUUUAAAAUGAAAAAUCUCUUUUAAAUGGUGAAAAUAUAUACCCUAAAUUGGAAAUAGGAAAACCCAAAUAUAAUACCAUAAACUAAUAUUAAAA